UGGGGAAUUUUGCACAAUGGGCGCAAGCCUGAUGCAGCGACGCCGCGUGAGGGAUGAAGGCCUUCGGGUUGUAAACCUUUUUCGCUCAUGGUCAAGCCGCAGCUUUGGGUUGUGGUGAGGGUAGUGGGUAAAGAAGCGCCGGCUAACUACGUGCCAGCAGCCGCGGUAAUACGUAGGGCGCGAGCGUUGUCCGGAAUUAUUGGGCGUAAAGGGCUUGUAGGCGGUUGGCCGCGUCUGCCGUGAAAUCCUCUGGCUUAACUGGGGGCGUGCGGUGGGUACGGGUUGACUUGAGUGCGGUAGAGGAGACUGGAAUUCCUGGUGUAGCGGUGGAAUGCGCAGAUAUCAGGAGGAACACCGGUGGCGAAGGCGGGUCUCUGGGCCGUUACUGACGCUGAGGAGCGAAAGCGUGGGGAGCGAACAGG
This 422-nucleotide ribosomal RNA is filed under the name bacterium. RNAcentral describes it as "partial 16S ribosomal RNA". It matches the Rfam family "Bacterial small subunit ribosomal RNA", at positions 355 to 776 of the family's 1533-position model. The record is from RNAcentral.